CCUACGGGUGGCUGCAGUCGAGAAUCAUUCACAAUGGGGGAAACCCUGAUGCUGCGACGCCGCGUGAGGGAAUGAAGGUCUUCGGAUUGUAAACCCCUUUCAUGUGGGAGCAAAUUAAAAAGAUAGUACCACAAGAGGAAGAGACGUCUAACUCUGUGCCAGCAGCCGCGGUAAUACAGAGGUCUCAAUCGUUGUUCGGAAUCACUGGGCGUAAAGCGUGCGUAGGCUGUUUAGUAAGUCGUGUGUGAAAGGCGCGGGCUCAACCCGCGGACGGCACAUGAUACUGCGAGACUAGAGUGAUGGAGGGGGAACCGGAAUUCUUGGUGUAGCAGUGAAAUGCGUAGAUAUCGAGAGGAACACUCGUGGCGAAGGCGGGUUCCUGGACAUUAACUGACGCUGAGGCACGAAGGCCAGGGGAGCGAAAGGGAUUAGAUACCCUGGUAGUC
This 446-nucleotide ribosomal RNA is filed under the name uncultured bacterium. RNAcentral describes it as "partial 16S ribosomal RNA". It matches the Rfam family "Bacterial small subunit ribosomal RNA", at positions 338 to 795 of the family's 1533-position model. The record is from RNAcentral.